RNAcentral lists this ribosomal RNA (558 nucleotides) under Neofusicoccum parvum. Its description in RNAcentral is "eukaryotic LSU rRNA". The stretch from base 199 to 352 matches the Rfam family "5.8S ribosomal RNA". Lineage: Eukaryota; Fungi; Ascomycota; Dothideomycetes; Botryosphaeriales; Botryosphaeriaceae. The record is from RNAcentral.
GACCUGCGGAAGGAUCAUUACCGAGUUGAUUCGAGCUCCGGCUCGACUCUCCCACCCUAUGUGUACCUACCUCUGUUGCUUUGGCGGGCCGCGGUCCUCCGCACCGGCGCCCUUCGGGGGGCUGGCCAGCGCCCGCCAGAGGACCAUAAAACUCCAGUCAGUGAACUUCGCAGUCUGAAAAACAAGUUAAUAAACUAAAACUUUCAACAACGGAUCUCUUGGUUCUGGCAUCGAUGAAGAACGCAGCGAAAUGCGAUAAGUAAUGUGAAUUGCAGAAUUCAGUGAAUCAUCGAAUCUUUGAACGCACAUUGCGCCCCUUGGUAUUCCGAGGGGCAUGCCUGUUCGAGCGUCAUUUCAACCCUCAAGCUCUGCUUGGUAUUGGGCCCCGUCCUCCACGGACGCGCCUUAAAGACCUCGGCGGUGGCGUCUUGCCUCAAGCGUAGUAGAAAACACCUCGCUUUGGAGCGCACGGCGUCGCCCGCCGGACGAACCUUUGAAUUAUUUCUCAAGGUUGACCUCGGAUCAGGUAGGGAUACCCGCUGAACUUAAGCAUAUCAA